CAGCAGCCGCGGUAAAACGUAGGUGGCAAGCGUUGUCCGGAAUUAUUGGGCGUAAAGGGCUCGCAGGCGGUUUCUUAAGUCUGAUGUGAAAGCCCCCGGCUCAACCGGGGAGGGUCAUUGGAAACUGGGAAACUUGAGUGCAGAAGAGGAGAGUGGAGUUCCACGUGUAGCGGUGAAAUGCAUAGAGAUGUGGAGGAACACCAGUGGCGAAGGCGACUCUCUGGUCUGUAACUGACGCUGAGGAGCGAAAGCGUGGGGAGCGAACAGGAUUAGAUACCCCUGUAGUCCCUGUCUCUUAUAC
RNAcentral lists this ribosomal RNA (301 nucleotides) under uncultured bacterium. RNAcentral's name for it is "partial 16S ribosomal RNA". It matches the Rfam family "Bacterial small subunit ribosomal RNA", at positions 509 to 807 of the family's 1533-position model. The record is from RNAcentral.